RNAcentral lists this long non-coding RNA (809 nucleotides) under Ananas comosus (pineapple). RNAcentral describes it as "long non-coding RNA (ACOM_LNC027167)". Lineage: Eukaryota; Viridiplantae; Streptophyta; Magnoliopsida; Poales; Bromeliaceae. The record is from RNAcentral.
UUUAGGGUGUGCUUGAUUUGAAGUCGGAAUCGAAAUGAGAAUAAGCUGGAAACGGAAUCGGAAUGAUUUAUUAUCUUAUUCUAUUUAGUUCGCCACCUGUAUCGGAAUCGGAAUGAAUCAUUUCUAUUGUCGAUGUUUGGUUUUAGAUAGAUAUAAGAAACGUAAUCAAAUUAAUAUGUUAAUUUUAUCUUUGUAAUAUAUUAGUUUAAAUUCAAACUGAAAAUUAAAUAUUAAAAAUUUACGUCCAAAUUUUAAAAUAAUGUCAAAAUUUUAAAUAUAUUUUUUAAAAAAAUAAAAAUUUGAAAUUGAAUGGAUAAUUCAAAAUAUGAAAUUAAAUUUCAUUUUAUUCAAAUUCAAACUUAAAAUUAUAAUUUUAAUUUCAAUUUGAAUCCAUAAAUUUAAUGUAAAUUUUAAAUAAAAUUUGAAUAAAACUUAAUAUUUUAAAUUGAAUUUAAAUUUAAAUUUAUAAAUUAGAUUCAAAAUGCUUGAUUUAAUUUUUAAUUUUUAAUUUAAGUUCAAAUUAAAAUUAAAAUUUACAAAUAUAAUUUUUAAAUUCCAGCUUAUGUUUUAAUUAAAAAAUUAGCUUACAAAAAUUAAAUUUAAUCCGAACAAAUCCAUUCCGCCCGGAUUCAAUUUCCAAUCCGGCCUAGGAGGGGUAAUUGAGAGGAUUCCCAUUCACCUGAGAAUUAGAAUCGAAAUGAAAAUCUCAUAUAUCAAACACGAACAAACGGAUUCGUCCAUUCUGAUUCUGAUUCCAAGGUGGGAACCAAAUAUGUCCUUAGACUCAAUAAUAGUACACCACCCCACAU